RNAcentral lists this ribosomal RNA (146 nucleotides) under uncultured bacterium. RNAcentral's name for it is "partial 16S ribosomal RNA". It matches the Rfam family "Bacterial small subunit ribosomal RNA", at positions 340 to 504 of the family's 1533-position model. The record is from RNAcentral.
UACGGGAGGCAGCAGUGGGGAAUUUUGGACAAUGGGCGCAAGCCUGAUCCAGCCAUGCCGCGUGUGUGAAGAAGGCCUUAGGGUUGUAAACCCCUUCCAGCGGGGAAGAUAAUGACGGUACCCGCAGAAGAAUCCCGGCUAACUCC